This 761-nucleotide ribosomal RNA is filed under the name uncultured Prevotella sp. RNAcentral describes it as "bacterial SSU rRNA". It matches the Rfam family "Bacterial small subunit ribosomal RNA", at positions 28 to 776 of the family's 1533-position model. The record is from RNAcentral. Lineage: Bacteria; Pseudomonadati; Bacteroidota; Bacteroidia; Bacteroidales; Prevotellaceae.
GAUGAACGCUGGCUACAGGCUUAACACAUGCAAGUCGAGGGGAAACGACGGGGAAGCUUGCUUCCCCGGGCGUCGACCGGCGCACGGGUGAGUAAACGCGUAUCCAACCUGCCUCUGACUGAGGGAUAACCCGUCGAAAGUCGGCCUAAUACCUCAUGGUAUCGUCUGCGGGCAUCCAACGACGAUUAAAGAUUUCAUCGGUCAGGGAUGGGGAUGCGUCUGAUUAGCUUGUUGGCGGGGUAACGGCCCACCAAGGCUACGAUCAGUAGGGGUUCUGAGAGGAAGGUCCCCCACAUUGGAACUGAGACACGGUCCAAACUCCUACGGGAGGCAGCAGUGAGGAAUAUUGGUCAAUGGGCGAGAGCCUGAACCAGCCAAGUAGCGUGCAGGAAGACGGCCCUAUGGGUUGUAAACUGCUUUUAUGCGGGGAUAAAGUGAGGGACGUGCCCCUCAUUGCAGGUACCGCAUGAAUAAGGACCGGCUAAUUCCGUGCCAGCAGCCGCGGUAAUACGGAAGGUCCUGGCGUUAUCCGGAUUUAUUGGGUUUAAAGGGAGCGUAGGCCGUGGAUUAAGCGUGUUGUGAAAUGCAGGUGCUCAACGUCUGCACUGCAGCGCGAACUGGUCCACUUGAGUGUGCGCAACGCAGGCGGAAUUCGUCGUGUAGCGGUGAAAUGCUUAGAUAUGACGAAGAACUCCGAUUGCGAAGGCAGCUUGCGGGAGCACAACUGACGCUGAAGCUCGAAAGUGCGGGUAUCGAACAGG